Molecule: ribosomal RNA, 678 nt
Filed under: uncultured bacterium
Lineage: Bacteria
Description: bacterial SSU rRNA
Rfam family: Bacterial small subunit ribosomal RNA
Source: RNAcentral
CCAAUGCGCGGUCCUACCAUGCAAGUCGUACGAGAAAUCCUGGGCAACCGGGAGAGUAAAGUGGCGCACGGGUGAGUAACGCGUGGGUAACCUGCCCUUGAGUUGGGGAUAACACUGCGAAAGUGGUGCUAAUACCGAAUAAUAUUUCAGUUCCUACGGGGAUUGAAAUCAAAGGUGGCCUCUGCAUGCAAGCUACUGCUCAAGGAUGGGCCCGCGUACCAUUAGCUAGUUGGUAGGGUAAUGGCCUACCAAGGCAACGAUGGUUAGCUGGUCUGAGAGGAUGGCCAGCCACACUGGAACUGAGACACGGUCCAGACUCCUACGGGAGGCAGCAGUGGGGAAUCUUGCGCAAUGGGGGAAACCCUGACGCAGCAACGCCGCGUGGGUGAUGAAGGCCUUCGGGUCGUAAAGCCCUGUCAGGUGGAAAGAAAUGUGUGGAUGCGAAUAACAUCCUCACUUGACGGUACCACCGGAGGAAGCACCGGCUAACUCCGUGCCAGCAGCCGCGGUAAUACGGAGGGUGCAAGCGUUGUUCGGAAUUAUUGGGCGUAAAGCGCGUGUAGGUGGUUGGGUAAGUCAGAUGUGAAAKCCUGAAGCUUAACUUCAGAAGUGCAUUUGAAACUGCCCAGCUAGAGUACGGGAGAGGAGAGUGGAAUUCCCGGUGUAGAGGUGAAAUUC